Molecule: transfer RNA, 89 nt
Filed under: Tissierellia bacterium
Lineage: Bacteria; Bacillati; Bacillota; Tissierellia
Description: tRNA-Leu
Rfam family: tRNA
About the family: Transfer RNA (tRNA) molecules are approximately 80 nucleotides in length. Their secondary structure includes four short double-helical elements and three loops (D, anti-codon, and T loops).
Source: RNAcentral
GCGGAAAUGGCGGAAUUGGCAGACGCGCAAGACUAAGGAUCUUGUGCCCGAUUUAGGGCGUGGAAGUUCAAAUCUUCUUUUCCGCACCA